GAGCUCAGUGCGCAUAUAUGUGUGUGUGUGUGUGUGUGUGUUUUUGACAAGUGGGCAGAAGAGAGAUAGUGAAAGAGGAAGCAGACGUGUUGUAGAUGCGACCGGAGCAGAGUUAGUGGUUAUUCAUGC
Etheostoma cragini (Arkansas darter) is the source of this 129-nucleotide long non-coding RNA. RefSeq lists it as uncharacterized. NCBI's taxonomy places the organism in Eukaryota, Metazoa, Chordata, Actinopteri, Perciformes, Percidae. The transcript is spliced from 3 exons. The record is from RefSeq and is a predicted model, not a curated record.